AUUCCAGCUCCAAUAGCGUAUAUUAAAGUUGUUGUGGUUAAAAAGCUCGUAGUUGGAUCUCAACAGCCUUGAAGCGGUUAACUUUGUAGUUUUACUGCUUUAUAGGCUGUGCUUUUGCUGGAGGUUUAGGGGUGCUCUUGAUCGAGUGUCUCUGGAUGCCAGCAGGUUUACUUUGAAAAAAUUAGAGUGCUCAAAGCAGGCUAAAAUGCCUGAAUAUUCGUGCAUGGAAUAAUAGAAUAGGAUGUCGAUCCUAUUUUGUUGGUUUUCGGGACUCGACAUAAUGAUAAAUAGGGACAGUCGGGGGCAUUUGUAUUCAAACGACAGAGGUGAAAUUCUUGGACCGUUUGAAGACAAACUACUGCGAAAGCAUUUGCCAAGAAUGUUUUCAUUA
RNAcentral lists this ribosomal RNA (391 nucleotides) under Paracalanus sp. Its description in RNAcentral is "partial small subunit ribosomal RNA". It matches the Rfam family "Eukaryotic small subunit ribosomal RNA", at positions 582 to 975 of the family's 1831-position model. Lineage: Eukaryota; Metazoa; Arthropoda; Copepoda; Calanoida; Paracalanidae. The record is from RNAcentral.